Rattus norvegicus (Norway rat) is the source of this 69-nucleotide non-coding RNA. Lineage: Eukaryota; Metazoa; Chordata; Mammalia; Rodentia; Muridae. The record is from Rfam.
GGGGAUUUAGCUCAGUGGUAGAGCGCUUGCCUAGCAUGCACAAGGCCCUGGGUUCGGUCCCCAGCUCCG